GCACAGUGAUGGCCUUUAUGCGUCUGAUA
Molecule: small RNA, 29 nt
Filed under: Bombyx mori (domestic silkworm)
Lineage: Eukaryota; Metazoa; Arthropoda; Insecta; Lepidoptera; Bombycidae
Description: piRNA piR-bmo-1496355
Source: RNAcentral